GGGUUGUGAGGUUAAGCGACUAAGCGUACACGGUGGAUGCCCUGGCAGUCAGAGGCGAUGAAGGGCGUGCUAAUCUGCGAUAAGCGCCGGUAAGGUGAUAUGAACCGUUAUAACCGGCGAUACCCGAAUGGGGAAACCCAGUGUGAUUCGUCACACUAUCAUUAACUGAAUCCAUAGGUUAAUGAGGCGAACCGGGGGAACUGAAACAUCUAAGUACCCCGAGGAAAAGAAAUCAACCGAGAUUCCCCCAGUAGCGGCGAGCGAACGGGGAGGAGCCCAGAGCCUGAAUCAGCAUGUGUGUUAGUGGAAGCGUCUGGAAAGGCGCGCGAUACAGGGUGACAGCCCCGUACACAAAAGCGCAUGUGUUGUGAGCUCGAUGAGUAGGGCGGGACACGUGGUAUCCUGUCUGAAUAUGGGGGGACCAUCCUCCAAGGCUAAAUACUCCUGACUGACCGAUAGUGAACCAGUACCGUGAGGGAAAGGCGAAAAGAACCCCGGCGAGGGGAGUGAAAAAGAACCUGAAACCGUGUACGUACAAGCAGUGGGAGCACAGGUUUACCUGUGUGACUGCGUACCUUUUGUAUAAUGGGUCAGCGACUUAUAUUCUGUAGCAAGGUUAACCGAAUAGGGGAGCCGGAGGGAAACCGAGUCUUAAU
RNAcentral lists this ribosomal RNA (656 nucleotides) under Salmonella enterica subsp. enterica serovar Paratyphi B var. L(+) tartrate +. RNAcentral's name for it is "partial 23S ribosomal RNA". It matches the Rfam family "Bacterial large subunit ribosomal RNA", at positions 1 to 688 of the family's 2925-position model. The record is from RNAcentral. Lineage: Bacteria; Pseudomonadati; Pseudomonadota; Gammaproteobacteria; Enterobacterales; Enterobacteriaceae.